UGCAGUCUCAGUACGAGCUGACUUAAAGUGAAACCGCAAAAGGCUCAGUAAACCGGUCAUAGUUUACCGGAUAUAUGCCACUCACGUGGACAACUGUGGUAAUUCUAGAGCUAAUACAUGCAACCAAGUCCCGACCAGCGAUGGAAAGGACGCUUUUAUUGGAUCAAAACCAUUCGCCCGGCCCCGCCCGGGCGUCUGCUUGAUGACUCUAGAUAACACCACAGAUCGCACGGUCAUAGUACCGGCGACGUAUCCGUCAAAUGUCUGACUUAUCAGCUGUCGAUGGUAGACUCUGUGUCUACCAUGGCGCUCACGGGUAACGGGGAAUCAGGGUUCGAUUCCGGAGAGGGAGCCUGAGAAACGGCUACCACAUCCAAGGAAGGCAGCAGGCACGCAAAUUACCCACUCCCGGCACGGGGAGGUAGUGACAAAAAAUAACGAUACGGGACUCAUCCGAGGCCCCGUAAUCGGAAUGAGAACACCCUAAAUCCUUUAACGAGGAUCUAUUGGAGGGCAAGUCUGGUGCCAGCAGCCGCGGUAAUUCCAGCUCCAAUAGCGUAUAUUAAAGUUGUUGCGGUUAAAAAGCUCGUAGUUGGUUCUGCGUGCCACGCUGUCGGUUCACCGCCUGUCGGUGCAACUGGCAUGCCGUGGCAUGUCCUGUCGGUGGCUUCACAGGCUUCGUGGCGCGCCCUAUGCGUUAACACGUGUAGGUAGUUGCGCCGCGUUGUUCUUGUAGGCCGGCUCAAUCCUGCCGCGGUGCUCUUUACCGAGUGUCGAGGUAGGCCGACACUGUUUACUUUGAACAAAUUAGAGUGCUUCAAGCAGGCUCUGAAAGCAGCCUGAAUAGUGGUGCAUGGAAUAAUGGAACAGGACCUUGGUUCUAUUUUGUUGGUUUUAGGAAUCCAAGGUAAUGAUCAAUAAGGACAGGCGGGGGCAUUCGUAUUGCGACGUUAGAGGUGAAAUUCUUGGAUCGUCGCAAGACGCACUA
Molecule: ribosomal RNA, 988 nt
Filed under: Acanthosoma crassicaudum
Lineage: Eukaryota; Metazoa; Arthropoda; Insecta; Hemiptera; Acanthosomatidae
Description: SSU rRNA
Rfam family: Eukaryotic small subunit ribosomal RNA
Source: RNAcentral